AGUGUAGAUUCAGAGUUUGAUCCUGGCUCAGGAUGAACGCUAGCGGCAGGCCUAACACAUGCAAGUCGAGGGGUAGAGUUAGCUUGCUAACUUGAGACCGGCGCACGGGUGCGUAACGCGUAUGCAAUCUACCUUAUACUGAGGGAUAGCCCGGAGAAAUCCGGAUUAAUACCUUAUAGUAUAUUAAAGUGGCAUCAUUUUGAUAUUAAAGAUUUAUUGGUAUAAGAUGAGCAUGCGUCCCAUUAGUUAGUUGGUGUGGUAACGGCACACCAAGACGAUGAUGGGUAGGGGUCCUGAGAGGGAGAUCCCCCACACUGGUACUGAGACACGGACCAG
Molecule: ribosomal RNA, 336 nt
Filed under: uncultured bacterium
Lineage: Bacteria
Description: bacterial SSU rRNA
Rfam family: Bacterial small subunit ribosomal RNA
Source: RNAcentral